This 277-nucleotide ribosomal RNA is filed under the name uncultured bacterium. Its description in RNAcentral is "partial 16S ribosomal RNA". It matches the Rfam family "Bacterial small subunit ribosomal RNA", at positions 28 to 307 of the family's 1533-position model. The record is from RNAcentral.
GAUAAACGCUGGCGGCGUGCCUAAUGCAUGCAAGUCGCACGGAGUGCUCUUUCGGGGGCAUUGAGUGGCGAACGGGUGAGGAACGCGUGGAGAACCUACCCCGGCGUGGGGGAUACCCGCCAGAAAUGGCGGCUAAUACCGCGUACGGUUGCCCGACGAGGGGUUGGGCAAAGAAAGCAGUGAUGCGCGCUGGGAGGGGUCUGCGCCCGAUUAGCUGGUUGGUGGGGUAACGGCUCACCAAGGCGGUGAUCGGUAGCUGGUCUGAGAGGAUGAUCAG